Long non-coding RNA from Poecilia latipinna (sailfin molly), 1948 nucleotides. RefSeq lists it as uncharacterized. The record is from RefSeq and is a predicted model, not a curated record. The transcript has 8 exons. Lineage: Eukaryota; Metazoa; Chordata; Actinopteri; Cyprinodontiformes; Poeciliidae.
AAGUAGAAACAUCGUGGUUCAAGAGCUCCAGUUCUCACUGAGGUUCAGGAAGCAGAGAGACGAUGAAGCAGAGAGGAGCCAUGGAGGAUUCAAUGUGGAGGAAAAUGUUUCUGUUUUUCAUCCUGCAGUUUACAGGAGCUCUCAGCCAACAUCCCUUACUCUCCUUCACUGUCAGAGCUGGAGAUGACGUCACUUUGUCUUGUGAAAAUGUGAUCAAGACUCACAGUAACUGUGACACAACAACCUGGAACUACAAUAGUCAAAGACAAUUAACUGUAGAGUUAGUUGCUCAUGGGCAGGUUAAGAAUAUCAGAUCAGACAGACUGAGUGUUUCUGCAAACUGUUCUCUGGUUGUAAAGAAAGUCACAGAUGAGGAUGUUGGUUUGUACACCUGCAGACAGUUUGUAUCAGGAAGACAGACAGGUUCAGAUGCUUCAGUUCAUCUUUCUCUCGUUCGCUUGACAGAACAAGAGGACCAGAACAGAGUGACUUUAACCUGCUCUGUGGUGACAGAUGGACCAUGUAAACACUCAGUGAAGUGGUUGGUUAGUGGUAACAAUGUGGAUAAAGACAACAAAGAUUUUACAGAAUCAUCAUCUUCCUGCUCGGCUGCUGUCGCCUUCCAGACGUCUCAUUACAUUUACCAGUCAAGGUUUAACACGUUCAAAUGUGAAGUAAAGACAGAAAAUAAAGUUCAGCUUUUUACCUUCAGCUCUCGUCCAUCAGAGAAAGACAAAACAACAACCACCUCAGCAGUUACAACUAAACCAGACGAAACAUCAUUCAUCCCAAUGACAGAUGGAGUCACUCCAACACGUCCUCUAGAUGUGGAACAAAGAAAGUUUUACUUGUUCACAUUUAGUGUUGCUUUUAAUCACAAAUUAACCUCAGAAUGAUUCUUUAAAUACUUUUAUUGACAUUUCGCUUUUCCCAUCAGGUUUUCUGUGGUUGUACAUCACUCUGCCUCUGGUUCUACUGGCCUUGAUAAUAACUCUGUUCAUCCUGUUAAAGAGAACUAGAGGCCACAAAGCUAAACAAACUUCCAGUGACGGUGUAACUCUUAGACCUGCAGAGACUCAAUCUGCCUCUGAAAAUCAGCAACAUGAGGUUGAUCCGGAAAAUGGAGUUUUCUACGCCUCCAUCAGCUACACCAAGAAGUCCCACAGCAGCAGGGAUAAAAAUGAUGAUGAAGAUGAAGCUGUGACAUACAGCACCAUGAAAACUCAGUCCAUAGAUCCCAGCAGCCUCUAUGCUUCCAUCAAGAAACCAAGCAAACAGUCUGAGGUCCCAUAGCUAAAUGCUAGAUUUACUGUUACAGGCGUGCAUUGUUGGAAAAAAAGGGAAAUGUCUCAUUAUUAAUUUAGAUAACUGCAUAAAAGAAUGAAAACAAUGUACAUUGCACUUGUUUAGCUGUGAUAUGGUUAAUUACUAUGACUUAUUAACCAAGCUUUGCAAUGUUUGUUUUGUUUUAAAUUCCAAUUUCAAACUGAAAACCAGGAAUUUUAUUUUGCAGGUUCAGUGUUUAAUAUUUAUUUAUUUUUUCAUUUUUAUCUGAGUAUUUAUCUGAGACUGAAUAAAUGGAUGUGAUAUAAUUAGUAUAGUAUUAUAAAUGACUCCGUCCAGCAGAGUAACUGAGAUGUGGAACUGUAAAAGUCAUAACUACCACUGUUAUUUUGAAGCUGGACAAAAAAGGAGAACAGCUCUUUAACCCCCAAGUUGUGUUUUCUUACAGUUAUAUUUCUUAAAAGAAACCACCAAUUUAGAGAAGUAGAUGUGUGAAAACAGGAAAGAGACGUUUUGAGAGCUAAAGUUUGCACAGGAACUCAUUUGUUUAAACAUUUAUUGAUGAUCCUUGUAAGGGACUGAUGAUUGGUAUGAUUUUUAGAGAAGUAAUUUUAUUUUCUGCUAGAAUAGUUACAGGUUUCCAGAUAAUAAAGCUCAUUUCUUA